CCUGCUCGACUGCUCUUUUUCAGCACCCACUUGAAUCAAUAUUGUUGACUUUUCUCCUUUUUUCAAGAUUAGUUUUCACUUUUGAACCUUUUUUCCUCUUUACUAAUUUUGCAUGCUCGAUUUCUUCAAGCAGAUUUAAGGGUAUAUGGUCAUUAACCUUUUUUGUCCUUCUUUCUUUCUCCAUUGCAGCAAUAGAGCCUGGAUUUUUGGCUUGUUGUUGAGUA
This 224-nucleotide long non-coding RNA is filed under the name Solanum tuberosum (potato). RNAcentral's name for it is "long non-coding RNA (STUB_LNC003096)". The record is from RNAcentral. Lineage: Eukaryota; Viridiplantae; Streptophyta; Magnoliopsida; Solanales; Solanaceae.